AAAGUGUGCUCAAGCUGUGGACUCUGGCUUCAUCAGCGAGGCCGAACUCGACCACGACUUUCUUGCCAUGGAUAGUCAAAUUGUGAAAGAAGGCGCUCUACUUCGAAAGGGUAACGUGCUGAAGAUAAGCUCGAAAACAAACCACU
RNAcentral lists this non-coding RNA (146 nucleotides) under Palpitomonas bilix. The record is from RNAcentral.